CUUACCAGGUCCAGACACAGUUAGGAUUGACAGAUUGAAAGCUCUUUCUUGAUUCUGUGGGUGGUGGUGCAUGGCCGUUCUUAGUUGGUGGAGUGAUUUGUCUGGUUAAUUCCGAUAACGAACGAGACCUCAGCCUAUUAAUUAAAUAAAAAAAUAUAAGCAAUUAUAAGGGUUAAAUAAAAUUUAAUUUAAUAUUAUUUUUUAGUAUUAAAUUAUUUUAUUUAAAACUUGUUUAUAUUUAUUUUUAUUUUCUUAAAGGGACACUUGGUGUUUAACCAAGGGAAGUUUGAGGCAAUAACAGGUCUGUGAUGCCCUUUAGAUGUUCUGGGCCGCACGCGCGCUACACUGAUAAAAUCAAUAAGUUUUUUAAUUUAAUUCCUUGACUGAAAAGUUUGGGUAAACUUUGAAAAUUUUAUCGUGCUGGGGAUUGACAAUUGUAAUUAUUUGUCAUGAACGAGGAAUUCCUAGUAAACGUAAGUCAUCAGCUUACGUUGAUUACGUCCCUGCCCUUUGUACACACCGCCCGUC
RNAcentral lists this ribosomal RNA (528 nucleotides) under Korotnevella heteracantha. Its description in RNAcentral is "bacterial SSU rRNA". It matches the Rfam family "Eukaryotic small subunit ribosomal RNA", at positions 1214 to 1677 of the family's 1831-position model. The record is from RNAcentral. Lineage: Eukaryota; Discosea; Flabellinia; Dactylopodida; Paramoebidae.